AGGUGGUUUGUUAAGUGAGAUGUGAAAGCCCAGGGCUCAACCUGGGAACUGCAUUUGAUACUGGCAAACUAGAGUACGGUAGAGGAAUGGGGAAUUUCUGGUGUAGCGGUGAACUGCGUAGAGAUCAGAAGGAACACCAAUGGCGAAGGCAACAUUCUGGACCGAUACUGACACUGAGGGACGAAAGCUAGGGGAUCAAACAGGAUUAGAUACCCUGGUAGUCCACGCUGUAAACGAUGAGUACUAGCUGUUGGA
This 255-nucleotide ribosomal RNA is filed under the name Francisella tularensis subsp. holarctica. Its description in RNAcentral is "partial 16S ribosomal RNA". It matches the Rfam family "Bacterial small subunit ribosomal RNA", at positions 573 to 827 of the family's 1533-position model. The record is from RNAcentral. Lineage: Bacteria; Pseudomonadati; Pseudomonadota; Gammaproteobacteria; Thiotrichales; Francisellaceae.